UCCGAAACCGGGCCAAUCGUGACUCUCGACACUGGCGCCGCUCCACGGCUCGCAGCGUGAGCGCCGCCGGCCGUGUGCGGCACGUGGGAGUAGGGGUACUUGUAUUGCGCGCGGCACGCGAAGCGUGCGCCGCGCGUCAUUGGAGAUUUUGGUUUCGAAUGCGCAGUACGUGAUGGUGUUACAGGAAGCCGGCCGGCCGCUGCCGCCGGACUUGAGUUUCGCUACAAGCACCUUUCCGGUAUCUGUGCAAUCCCGUCGUUGUCGGCAGCAGCAGUAGCAGGUGUGGGCGGUCCCGUGCCAGGCUAAUCAACGUAUCGGCCAGGUACUGUUUCGCUAGCCGGAGCGGUUUCGUCUGUCCCGAGUUUUCCUCCCGUCUUCUGCCGGUGUCUUCCCGCCACUGUCGUCUGCUAAGUUGCACCGCAGUGGACGUCGCCAGUCUCCGUCGAGAGGAAGGAGCAACAGACUUUGGCCGCUGCGUCUUCGCAAACAGAAGAUCACACCUCACCGCGUCGUCUGGCGCAAGCUGGGUGCGCGUCGUCUGCUUGUGGUGACCUUCUGGAGAUGUACGUGACCCGAUGCUCUGAGCUGGCCGUGGUGUUCCCACCUCUGCUCGACAGCCGACGUGUCUGCGCUAGCGACGACAAUGCCGUCAAGGACGCACUUGGAAGGUCGAGAGUCCGGGUGUGCGACGGCGCCCUCUGGUGGCUGCGCUGGAUGCCUGCCGAAGACCCGUGCUUAUCCCUAGAAAAAUGUCUGCAAACAAUAUACCUUCAUUGGUCCCCACCAACGUUCCGGAUAUUACCCCUUAAACGUGACGGUAUUGGCCAUGAGACAACCAAACACCCUUUA
Molecule: long non-coding RNA, 849 nt
Filed under: Dermacentor andersoni
Lineage: Eukaryota; Metazoa; Arthropoda; Arachnida; Ixodida; Ixodidae
Description: uncharacterized LOC126527300
Source: RNAcentral